AGAGAGAUGGCAGAGUGGUUGAAUGCGGCGGUCUUGAAAACCGUUGUGGCCUUUGGUCACCGGGGGUUCGAAUCCCUCUCUCUCUG
RNAcentral lists this transfer RNA (86 nucleotides) under Ignavibacteriota bacterium. RNAcentral describes it as "Ignavibacteriae bacterium (activated sludge metagenome) tRNA-Ser". It matches the Rfam family "tRNA". From Rfam's summary of the family: Transfer RNA (tRNA) molecules are approximately 80 nucleotides in length. Their secondary structure includes four short double-helical elements and three loops (D, anti-codon, and T loops). RNAcentral also lists the same sequence under 1 other name. Lineage: Bacteria; Pseudomonadati; Ignavibacteriota. The record is from RNAcentral.